RNAcentral lists this ribosomal RNA (1097 nucleotides) under uncultured eukaryote. RNAcentral describes it as "SSU rRNA". It matches the Rfam family "Eukaryotic small subunit ribosomal RNA", at positions 564 to 1677 of the family's 1831-position model. The record is from RNAcentral.
GUGCCAGCCGCCGCGGUAAUUCCAGCUCCAAUAGCGUAUAUUAAUGUUGCUGCAGUUAAAAAGCUCGUAGUUGGAUUUCUGACUUGGCGCAUCUGGCCCGCCACGGUUACGUGUGUGAGUGCCGGGAUGCGCCUGUCACUUUUCUAGUAAACUAUUGUGCUCUUCACUGAGUGCGAUAGGUAGCUAGAUAUUUUACUUUGAAAAAAUUAGAGUGUUUAAAGCAGGCGUUUGCUAUGAAUACAUUAGCAUGGAAUAAUAAGUUAGGACUACGGUUCUAUUUUGUUGGUUUCUAGGACUGAAGUAAUGAUUGAUAGGGAUAGUUGGGGGUGCUAGUAUUCAGCGGCCAGAGGUGAAAUUCUCGGAUUCGCUGAAGACUAACUUAUGCGAAAGCAUUCACCAAGGAUGUCUUCUUUAAUCAAGAACGAAAGUUGGGGGAUCGAAGACGAUCAGAUACCGUCGUAGUCUCAACUAUAAACUAUGCCGACUAGGGAUGAGUGAACGUUGCAUUCUCGACUUCAUUCGCACCUUAUGAGAAAUCAAAGUCCUUGGGUUCCGGGGGGAGUAUGGUCGCAAGGCUGAAACUUAAAGGAAUUGACGGAAGGGCACCACCAGGAGUGGAGCCUGCGGCUUAAUUUGACUCAACACGGGGAAACUUACCGGGUCCAGACUCAGUGAGGAUUGACAGAUUGAAGAUCUUUCUUGAUUUUGAGGGUGGUGGUGCAUGGCCGUUCUUAGUUGGUGGAGCGAUUUGUCUGGUUUAUUCCGUUAACGAACGAGACCACGACCUACUAAAUAGUUCUUACUUGGGUUCGCUCAAGUCGAUGUGACUUCUUAGAGGGACUAUCGGUGUGUAGCCGAUGGAAGUUCGUGGCAAUAACAGGUCUGUGAUGCCCUUCGAUGUUCUGGGCCGCACGCGCGCUACACUGAUGCGUUCAUCGAGCUUACAACCUUGUCUGAGAGGACUGGGUAAUCUUUGAAAACGCAUCGUGCUGGGGAUAGAUUAUUGUAAUUAUUAAUCUUCAACGAGGAAUUCCUAGUAAACGCAUGUCAUCAACAUGCAUUGAUUACGUCCCUGCCCUUUGCACACACCGCCCGUC